GACAGAGGGUGCAAACGUUGUUCGGAAUUACUGGGCGUAAAGCGCGUGUAGGCGGCCCUGCAAGUCGGAUGUGAAAUCCCACGGCUCAACCGUGGAAGUGCAUUCGAAACUGCAGGGCUAGAGUCCUGGAGAAGAAGGUGGAAUGCUUGGUGUAGAGGUGAAAUUCGUAGAUAUCAAGCGGAACACCGGUGGCGAAGGCGGCCUUCUGGACAGUGACGUGACGCUG
This 226-nucleotide ribosomal RNA is filed under the name uncultured bacterium. RNAcentral's name for it is "partial 16S ribosomal RNA". It matches the Rfam family "Bacterial small subunit ribosomal RNA", at positions 524 to 748 of the family's 1533-position model. The record is from RNAcentral.